AGCUUUGUGCAGUGACAUUAGCUAGCCUAGCCAAUGAGAUUUAUCCAAGUUGUGAUUAUUGCUAAUUGAAAACUUUUCCCAAUACUGUCAUGACGACUUGAAAUAAGUCGGCAUUGGCAAUUUUUAACAGUUUCUUUGGAGA
RNAcentral lists this small nuclear RNA (142 nucleotides) under Cavia aperea (Brazilian guinea pig). Its description in RNAcentral is "U4 spliceosomal RNA (ENSCAPG00000005435.1)". It matches the Rfam family "U4 spliceosomal RNA". From Rfam's summary of the family: U4 small nuclear RNA (U4 snRNA) is a component of the major U2-dependent spliceosome. The structure of U4 snRNA from yeast and human has been reported. The record is from RNAcentral. Lineage: Eukaryota; Metazoa; Chordata; Mammalia; Rodentia; Caviidae.